RNAcentral lists this unclassified non-coding RNA (234 nucleotides) under Basidiomycota sp. RNAcentral's name for it is "partial contains small subunit ribosomal RNA, internal transcribed spacer 1, and 5.8S ribosomal RNA". The stretch from base 1 to 47 matches the Rfam family "Eukaryotic small subunit ribosomal RNA", at positions 1785 to 1831 of the family's 1831-position model. The record is from RNAcentral. Lineage: Eukaryota; Fungi; Basidiomycota.
AAAGUCGUAACAAGGUUUCCGUAGGUGAACCUGCGGAAGGAUCAUUGACAAAUCUAAACAAAAUACUAACCUGUGAACCGGCGGCUGCACAUUGUGCGGCUGCUUUGGUAAGGAAGGCGGCGGGUGAGCUGCUCGCAUCUCGUACCCUGCCUUUCCACUGCCACACAUUUACACAAUUGUCUUACACACAACACAACAACAAAACAACUUUUAGCAAUGGAUCUCUUGGCUUCU